This 402-nucleotide ribosomal RNA is filed under the name uncultured beta proteobacterium. Its description in RNAcentral is "bacterial SSU rRNA". It matches the Rfam family "Bacterial small subunit ribosomal RNA", at positions 255 to 649 of the family's 1533-position model. The record is from RNAcentral. Lineage: Bacteria; Pseudomonadati; Pseudomonadota; Betaproteobacteria.
AGGUAAAGGCUUACCAAGGCGACGAUCAGUAGCUGGUCUGAGAGGACGACCAGCCACACUGGGACUGAGACACGGCCCAGACUCCUACGGGAGGCAGCAGUGGGGAAUUUUGGACAAUGGGGGAAACCCUGAUCCAGCCAUGCCGCGUGAGUGAAGGAGGCCUUCGGGUUGUAAAGCUCUUUCAGCCGGAACGAAACGGUCACGGCUAAUACCUGUGACUACUGACGGUACCGGAAGAAGAAGCACCGGCUAACUACGUGCCAGCAGCCGCGGUAAUUCGUAGGGUGCGAGCGUUAAUCGGAAUUACUGGGCGUAAAGCGUGCGCAGGCGGUUUUGUAAGUCAGAUGUGAAAUCCCCGGGCUUAACCUGGGAACUGCGUUUGAAACUACAAGGCUAGAAGGG